Cebus imitator (Panamanian white-faced capuchin) is the source of this 587-nucleotide long non-coding RNA. RefSeq lists it as uncharacterized. Lineage: Eukaryota; Metazoa; Chordata; Mammalia; Primates; Cebidae. The record is from RefSeq and is a predicted model, not a curated record. The transcript is spliced from 3 exons.
UGAGAUUCUGUCUUAAAAAAAAAGAGAGAGAGAAAACAGAAUAUGGACUCUCCAACAGAACAUUAUUUGAAUCCAAAUGCCAGCAGGCCACCAUAGAACCGAGAAGAGCCUGUGUUCCAGUUUGAAGGUCAUCCUGCAGGGAAUGUUCUCUUACUUGGCUGACUAUUGGGAAGCUCUGCUGGGGGCCCACAGGAAUGUGAAUAAACACACUUGGAAAGUUUGCAGAAGCUCUGGUCCCAGCCUCCUGCUGGUAUUUGGGAUUAAGCCUUAUUUUGCAAUGGGUGUAAUCUCAACCGACACUGAGGGGUGCCUGAAGUCCCUGCAAAACCCUUUCUGGUAUCAGCUACCUAUCACAGGAUGCAGAGGACAAGGUCAGGUAGAGGCUGUGUUCCCAGUGAGAGGAAGGCGGGGGAGGGAAUGGAAAGAGCACUGGAAAUGGGGUGGGAAGACCAAGGUUCGAAUCCCAGCCCUGUCCCCUCCUUGCACGGCUACUUAGGUGAGAGUCCCUGCCCUUUCUGAGUUCCUUCCUUCCCUCCCUCCCUUAUCCUCCCCUCCUGUUGCCUCCUCUUCCCUUCUUCCCUUCCUUC